RNAcentral lists this ribosomal RNA (366 nucleotides) under uncultured eukaryote. RNAcentral describes it as "partial 18S ribosomal RNA". It matches the Rfam family "Eukaryotic small subunit ribosomal RNA", at positions 592 to 976 of the family's 1831-position model. The record is from RNAcentral.
CAAUAGCGUAUAUUAACGUUGUUGCAGUUAAAAAGCUCGUAGUUGGAUUCCUGGAGGGAGCGUCGGCCCGUAUUUACGAGUGCGUGACGUCUCUGUCCAUCCUUGCGGGAAGGCACGGCAUUGAUUUGUUGUGUCGGAUCGCAUCAUUUACUGUGAAAAAAUUAGAGUGUUCAAAGCAGGCUUUCGCUUGAAUACAUUAGCAUGGAAUAAUAAGAUAGGGCUUUGGUGCUAUUUUGUUGGUUGAGCCUAAAGUAAUGAUUAAUAGGGAUAGUUGGGGGCACCUGUAUUGCGUUGUCAGAGGUGAAAUUCUUGGAUUUACGCAAGACAAACAGCUGCGAAAGCGUCUGCCAAGGAUGUUUUCAUUAA